RNAcentral lists this transfer RNA (73 nucleotides) under Neotoma lepida (desert woodrat). It matches the Rfam family "tRNA". From Rfam's summary of the family: Transfer RNA (tRNA) molecules are approximately 80 nucleotides in length. Their secondary structure includes four short double-helical elements and three loops (D, anti-codon, and T loops). Further hydrogen bonds mediate the characteristic L-shaped molecular structure. tRNAs have two regions of fundamental functional importance: the anti-codon, which is responsible for specific mRNA codon recognition, and the 3' end, to which the tRNAs corresponding amino acid is attached (by aminoacyl-tRNA synthetases). tRNAs cope with the degeneracy of the genetic code in two manners: having more than one tRNA (with a specific anti-codon) for a particular amino acid; and 'wobble' base-pairing, i.e. permitting non-standard base-pairing at the 3rd anti-codon position. The record is from Rfam by way of RNAcentral. Lineage: Eukaryota; Metazoa; Chordata; Mammalia; Rodentia; Cricetidae.
GAGGGGAUAGCUCAGUGGUUAAGAGCACUGGCUGCUCCUCCAGAGGCCCUGAGUUCAAUUCCCAGCACCCACA